Molecule: ribosomal RNA, 440 nt
Filed under: uncultured bacterium
Lineage: Bacteria
Description: partial 16S ribosomal RNA
Rfam family: Bacterial small subunit ribosomal RNA
Source: RNAcentral
CCUACGGGGGGCAGCAGUGGGGAAUAUUGCACAAUGGGGGAAACCCUGAUGCAGCGACGCCGCGUGAAGGAAGAAGUAUUUCGGUAUGUAAACUUCUAUCAGCAGGGAAGAAAAUGACGGUACCUGACUAAGAAGCCCCGGCUAACUACGUGCCAGCAGCCGCGGUAAUACGUAGGGGGCAAGCGGUAUCCGGAUUUACUGGGUGUAAAGGGGGCGCAGACGGCGAUGCAAGCCAGGAGGGAAAGCCCGGGGCCCAACCCCGGGACUGCUCUUGGAACUGCGUGGCUAGAGUGCAGGAGGGGCAGAUGGAAUUCCUAGUGUAGCGGUGAAAUGCGUAGAUAUUAGGAGGAACACCAGUGGCGAAGGCGGUCUGCUGGACAGCAACUGACGCUGAGGCGCGAAAGCGUGGGGAGCAAACAGGAUUAGAUACCCCAGUAGUC